AAACCCCUGCAAGGCUGGGGGAUCCCGUAAAGCUUUCAGCUUUGAAUAAGCUAUUAACUCCUUUUUAAUUUGUUAAAACAUCUUGCGGUCUGGCAACUGCAAGAGUCAAACAAAAAAAUCAGAAA
Non-coding RNA from Proteus penneri ATCC 35198, 125 nucleotides. The record is from Rfam. NCBI's taxonomy places the organism in Bacteria, Pseudomonadati, Pseudomonadota, Gammaproteobacteria, Enterobacterales, Morganellaceae.